UACGGGGGGGGCAAGCGUUGUUCGGAAUUACUGGGCGUAAAGGGCUCGUAGGCGGUCUGUCGCGUCGGGAGUGAAAACUCAGGGCUUAACCCUGAGCCUGCUUCCGAUACGGGCAGACUAGAGGUAUGCAGGGGAGAACGGAAUUCCUGGUGUAGCGGUGGAAUGCGCAGAUAUCAGGAGGAACACCGGUGGCGAAGGCGGUUCUCUGGGCAUUACCUGACGCUGAGGAGCGAAAGUGUGGGGAGCGAACAGG
This 253-nucleotide ribosomal RNA is filed under the name uncultured bacterium. Its description in RNAcentral is "partial 16S ribosomal RNA". It matches the Rfam family "Bacterial small subunit ribosomal RNA", at positions 524 to 776 of the family's 1533-position model. The record is from RNAcentral.